Long non-coding RNA from Nematolebias whitei (Rio pearlfish), 230 nucleotides. RefSeq lists it as uncharacterized. NCBI's taxonomy places the organism in Eukaryota, Metazoa, Chordata, Actinopteri, Cyprinodontiformes, Rivulidae. The record is from RefSeq and is a predicted model, not a curated record. The transcript is spliced from 3 exons.
UAGCCGGUCAUGUGGCUGUAUCAGCACAGACUCUCAACCUGCCAAAAUUGAGGGCCUGUUUGGGGAUGCAGAUCGUGGCGUGUGUAGCUUCCAUCAUUAACAUCAUCUUUACCGUGAUCAUGCUGGCAACCCCUUAUGGUAGCUGCUGGAUAUAUCAUUAUGAAGCUGAGAACAGCACAAUCAACUAUGAAGAACUCUGUCAUAUGUUUGAGAACACCCACUCCAACUUU